GCCGGGCACGGUGACACGUGCCUGUAGUCCCGGCUACUCGGGAGGCUGAGAUGGAGGAUCGCUUGAGCCCAGGAGUUCUGGGCUGUAGUGCGCUAUGCUGAUCGGGUAUCCACACUAAGUUCGGCAUCAAUAUGGUGACCUCCCAGGAGCAGGGGACCACUAGGUUGCCUAAGGAGGGGUGAACAGGCCCAGGUCGGACACAGAGCAGGUCAAAACUCCCCCGCUGAUCAGUAGUGGGAUUGCGCCCGUGAAUAGCAACUGCACUCCAGCCUGGGCAAUGUAGCAAGACUCCAUCUCA
Molecule: signal recognition particle RNA, 298 nt
Filed under: Saimiri boliviensis boliviensis (Bolivian squirrel monkey)
Lineage: Eukaryota; Metazoa; Chordata; Mammalia; Primates; Cebidae
Description: Metazoan signal recognition particle RNA (ENSSBOG00000012839.1)
Rfam family: Metazoan signal recognition particle RNA
About the family: The signal recognition particle (SRP) is a universally conserved ribonucleoprotein. It is involved in the co-translational targeting of proteins to membranes. The eukaryotic SRP consists of a 300-nucleotide 7S RNA and six proteins: SRPs 72, 68, 54, 19, 14, and 9.
Source: RNAcentral